Molecule: ribosomal RNA, 300 nt
Filed under: uncultured Bacillus sp.
Lineage: Bacteria; Bacillati; Bacillota; Bacilli; Caryophanales; Bacillaceae
Description: bacterial SSU rRNA
Rfam family: Bacterial small subunit ribosomal RNA (bases 52-300)
Source: RNAcentral
GCGGACGUGGUGGCGGGAUCGGGGGUCAUACGAAGGGGUCAAUGGGUGAUGGGAAUGACUUGGCGUAAAGCGGUCGUAGGCUGUUCUGUAAGUCUGCUGUGAAAGCCCCGAGCUCAACCUGGGAAUGGCAGUGGAUACUGGAGAGCUAGAGGGUGAUAGAGGAUGGUGGAAUUCCCGGUGUAGCGGUGAAAUGCGUAGAGAUCGGGAGGAACAUCAGUGGCGAAGGCGGCCAUCUGGAUCAACACUGACGCUGAGGCACGAAAGCGUGGGGAGCAAACAGGAUUAGAUACCCUGGUAGUC